Long non-coding RNA from Physeter macrocephalus (sperm whale), 308 nucleotides. RefSeq lists it as uncharacterized. The transcript is spliced from 3 exons. The record is from RefSeq and is a predicted model, not a curated record. NCBI's taxonomy places the organism in Eukaryota, Metazoa, Chordata, Mammalia, Artiodactyla, Physeteridae.
GACACCUUUGCAGGAUCAAGUGUUUCUAAAGGUUGAUCAGAGUAUUACAAAGACAAGAGGCAUAAUGGCUAUUUUCAUCCAACUUCUCUCAUUUUGCUAUAAACUGCUGAAGAAGAGUAAAGAAGAAACCAAUUGUCUUAAUUGUUUCCAGCUUCAAGUGGAAAACAACCGAUGGAUCUCAGUUACAAAUAAAGAUUCUGUGGAUGGUAAAACUUGAGAAGUUCUUGCGGUCAGAUCUCUGGAACACCAUGUGGCAAAGCUGACAUUUUUAGAAAGCAAAUGAUCCUGUAUAUUUCAGAAAUACAACA